Molecule: ribosomal RNA, 999 nt
Filed under: Triticum aestivum (bread wheat)
Lineage: Eukaryota; Viridiplantae; Streptophyta; Magnoliopsida; Poales; Poaceae
Description: partial small subunit ribosomal RNA
Source: RNAcentral
AUGCUGUCCAACCGCACCGAGGGCGACGGCCGUCGCUUUCUCAACGACUCCACCGGUGCCAGCGCAUGUGUCGAUCUCCCGGAGCUCUCCCGCCACCACCUUGAGACCAGCACCGAGGGCCUUCUGCUCCUGCGCGGCAAGGCGAGCCACGCUGUGCGCCUCUUCAACCUGCUCACCAGGGCCUUCACCAACCUCCCGCCCAUCACCCCCGACCUCGGCAGAGCGUACAUUGUCUGGACGGGGCUGUUGGAGUCCUCGGAGCGCCUCAUCUACACUGGCAUCUCUGAAGAGACCUCCCCAGCGUCGGUUGUGCUCCUGAUGAUUGACCGUGGGCGUGCCAUAGUCUACGCCAAGCCUGGCGACCAGCGGUGGGCUGUGAUUGAGCAUGACGAGAUCGGGAGACCCAAUCGCUACGCAUCAUAUCGGCUAUCGUCGGCGUCAACCCUACAGGGGCGCUUCUACUUUGCGACUCUUGAGGGGAAUAUAAUGCAUGUGAGGCUCUGCCCUGAGCCUCAGUUGGUGCCGAUAGUCGUGAACCAGCCCAAAACCAGGGGAGAAGUGUCCUCCUACCUUGUCCCUCCCGACGACCACCGCUGCGGCGGCAUGCUCAUGGUGCGCUACUACCUCGACCUUGAUCACCUCAGCGCUGACGAGCGGAGAAUCAUGGCGCGCAGGAGGAAGCGCAUGGAUGCAAUCAGGGUGGAGAACAGGUUGAAGGAGUGCCGGUGGAACCUGAUCCAGGUGUUCGAGGUGAAUGUGGCGGAAAGAGGCUCGUCCCGGUGGAGGACAUUGGCCGCCACCGUGCGGUGUUUGUCGGGGAGGCGGCAUGCUUCUCCCUCUCUGCCAGGACGUUUCCGUGCGUGGCUGGGAAUGCGGUGCACCUGGGGGCGACCGGUGCCCGCUACCCUCCCGUCGGCGUGCGGUAUCUGGCGGACAAGAGUGCGGAUCCACCGUUUGAGUUCACCACUGACGGGCCAGCUUCUCCAGAUGAACCACUGA